This 207-nucleotide ribosomal RNA is filed under the name uncultured bacterium. RNAcentral's name for it is "partial 16S ribosomal RNA". It matches the Rfam family "Bacterial small subunit ribosomal RNA", at positions 568 to 774 of the family's 1533-position model. The record is from RNAcentral.
CGUGUAGGCGGCUUGGUAAGUCAGAUGUGAAAGCCCUGGGCUCAACCCAGGAAGUGCAUUUGAAACUACUAGACUUGAGUACGGGAGAGGAGGGGGGAAUUCCCGGUGUAGAGGUGAAAUUCGUAGAUAUCGGGAGGAAUACCGGUGGCGAAGGCGCCCCUCUGGACCGAUACCGACGCUGAGACGCGAAAGCGUGGGGAGCAAACA